Molecule: ribosomal RNA, 119 nt
Organism: Cercocebus atys (sooty mangabey)
Lineage: Eukaryota; Metazoa; Chordata; Mammalia; Primates; Cercopithecidae
Source: Ensembl
AUCUAGGGGCAUACCACCCUGACCCCGCCUGAUCUCACCUGAUCUCAGAAGCUAAGCAGCGUGGGGCCUGGUUAGUACUUGGAUGGGAGACAGCCUAGGAACACCAGGUGCUGUAGGCA